RNAcentral lists this ribosomal RNA (466 nucleotides) under uncultured bacterium. RNAcentral's name for it is "partial 16S ribosomal RNA". It matches the Rfam family "Bacterial small subunit ribosomal RNA", at positions 28 to 507 of the family's 1533-position model. The record is from RNAcentral.
GACGAACGCUGGCGGCGUGCUUAACACAUGCAAGUCGAACGGAAAGGCCCAGCUUGCUGGGUACUCGAGUGGCGAACGGGUGAGUAACACGUGGGUGAUCUGCCCUGCACUCUGGGAUAAGCCUGGGAGACUGGGUCUAAUACCGGAUAUGACCGACUGUCGCAUGGUGGUUGGUGGAAAGCUUUUGCGGUGUGGGAUGGGCCCGCGGCCUAUCAGCUUGUUGGUGGGGUAAUGGCCUACCAAGGCGACGACGGGUAGCCGACCUGAGAGGGUGAUCGGCCACACUGGGACUGAGACACGGCCCAGACUCCUACGGGAGGCAGCAGUGGGGAAUAUUGCACAAUGGGCGCAAGCCUGAUGCAGCGACGCCGCGUGAGGGAUGACGGCCUUCGGGUUGUAAACCUCUUUCACCAGGGACGAAGCGUGAGUGACGGUACCUGGAGAAGAAGCACCGGCCAACUACGUG